AGGUUCAAAUAUAUCCUUGUACUAUUCAAAAUAGGUCAUAUUUAUCCUCCGUUUGAAUUCUUUAACAAAUAUAUCCCCACCGUUAUACAUUAGGGCCACAUAUACCCUUCCACCGCUAAAACUUGUUUCCACAUUAUUUUUUAACACGUGGCAGUCUUAGAUUGGACCAGAUUAGCCUACCCAUUCUAUUUUUUAAACUCGCCCGACCC
This 209-nucleotide long non-coding RNA is filed under the name Nicotiana benthamiana. RNAcentral's name for it is "long non-coding RNA (NBEN_LNC020748)". Lineage: Eukaryota; Viridiplantae; Streptophyta; Magnoliopsida; Solanales; Solanaceae. The record is from RNAcentral.